This 432-nucleotide RNase P RNA is filed under the name Planctomycetaceae bacterium. Its description in RNAcentral is "RNase P RNA component class A". It matches the Rfam family "Bacterial RNase P class A". Rfam says of the family: Ribonuclease P (RNase P) is a ubiquitous endoribonuclease, found in archaea, bacteria and eukarya as well as chloroplasts and mitochondria. Its best characterised activity is the generation of mature 5'-ends of tRNAs by cleaving the 5'-leader elements of precursor-tRNAs. The record is from RNAcentral. Lineage: Bacteria; Pseudomonadati; Planctomycetota; Planctomycetia; Planctomycetales; Planctomycetaceae. RNAcentral also lists the same sequence under 1 other name.
GGAGUGAACCGGGUGAUCGCCGGUCGGGCUGGGCCUUACCUUUGGGUGUGGCCGAGAUUCCGACAGGAGGAAAGUCCGGGCUCCGUAGGGCUCGAUGGUGGGUAACGCCCACCGGCCGCAAGGUCAGGGACAGUGCCACAGAAAGUAAACCGCCGGUAGGGUUUUCCCUGCCGGUAAGGGUGAAACGGUGAGGUAAGAGCUCACCAGCAGGCCGGGUGACCGGUCUGGCUCGGCAAACCCCAUCGGGAGCAAGGCCAAGCAGGAAGAAGUUCGUCUCCCUUGGAGGCGGCACGAAGCGGCCCGUUUCGUAGCCCACUUCCGGGUCGGCUGCUGGAGGCGUCGGGCAACCGACGUCCUAGAGAAAUGGUCAUCGCCCCCAACGGUCUUUGGACCGCUGGGGUACAAAACCCGGCUUAUAGGUUCACUCCAGUC